Molecule: transfer RNA, 69 nt
Filed under: Lampris guttatus (North Atlantic opah)
Lineage: Eukaryota; Metazoa; Chordata; Actinopteri; Lampriformes; Lampridae
Description: tRNA-Ala
Rfam family: tRNA
About the family: Transfer RNA (tRNA) molecules are approximately 80 nucleotides in length. Their secondary structure includes four short double-helical elements and three loops (D, anti-codon, and T loops). Further hydrogen bonds mediate the characteristic L-shaped molecular structure. tRNAs have two regions of fundamental functional importance: the anti-codon, which is responsible for specific mRNA codon recognition, and the 3' end, to which the tRNAs corresponding amino acid is attached (by aminoacyl-tRNA synthetases). tRNAs cope with the degeneracy of the genetic code in two manners: having more than one tRNA (with a specific anti-codon) for a particular amino acid; and 'wobble' base-pairing, i.e. permitting non-standard base-pairing at the 3rd anti-codon position.
Source: RNAcentral
AAAGCCUUAGCUUAGUCAAAGUACCUGUUUUGCAUGCAGGAGAUGUGGGGUAGUAUCCCGCAGGUUUUA